Molecule: RNA transcript, 1785 nt
Organism: Cucurbita maxima (winter squash)
Lineage: Eukaryota; Viridiplantae; Streptophyta; Magnoliopsida; Cucurbitales; Cucurbitaceae
Gene name: SKP1-interacting partner 15-like
Exons: 3
Source: RefSeq, a predicted model, not a curated record
GCUCUUUUUCUCCCCGUUGGAUAACAGCCCACAAUCCCCCAUUUUCAAUCCCUUCCCAAGUCUCCUCCCUCCUCCUCCACCUCCGCCUCCGCCCAUCGCCGGAUGGAAGCUUCUCCGAUAUACUGUCUUCCCAAUGACACUUUCUAUCAGAUCUUCCUAUCCCUCCCUCUCCGUCAAAUUAUGAUCUGCCGUUGCGUCUGCAAGCUGUUUGACCAAAUUAUCUCAUCCCCUUUCUUCAUUGACCUCAUCUCCAUCCGUCCUCCUCUUCACCUCAUCGCCCUUCGGCCCCCGCACCACCACCACCACCACCACAGUCACGAGCGCCUCUCUGCCGCCGCCGCCGCCAAUUCUUGUCUCCACGUCUUUGACCCUGAUCAGAAUCAGUGGCUUCGAUUCCCCCUCGAUUUUUUGCCCUUUCGAUUCCCUCACCCUGUCGCGUCCUCUCUCGGUCUUGUUUAUCUCUGGGGCGACUCGCCGGAGUCUCCCGAGUCGAAUAAGUCGCUUGUAGUUUGUAACCCUUUGACUCGCCAGUUCCGGGUCUUGCCGCAGCUCGGCUCGGCCUGGUCCCGACAUGGCUCGGUUUUGGUUGACUCUGCUAAUAGAGUAAUGGUUUUGACGGAGCUUGCAGCUCUUUAUUUCUCUGGGUCGAAUCAGUGGAGUAAAUUCUCUUCUAACCUGCCUUCGAAACCUCGAAGUCCUGUGUUGGUUUCUAAAUCGGUUUAUGCUCUUUGUGAUGUGGGUUCUCCGUGGAGAAGCCAAUGGAAGUUGUUUGCUUGUACUAUUACUGAUCUCAAGAGCUCCCAGAAUUGGGGUCGGCUUGAAAGGCACGAAUGGGGGGAUGUUUUUGACAUUUUGAAACGGCCUCGUUUGGUCCGAGGGACGGGGAACCAAAUCUUGAUGGUGGGUGGGCUCAAAUCGUCGUUUUCGUUGACUGCUUCGUGCUCGACGAUUCUGAUUUUAAGGUUGGAUUUGGAUACAUUGGAGUGGGAUGAGGCGGGUCGUAUGCCUGUUCAGAUGUUUCAGUGCUUUCAAGGGUCAAGUAAGUUUAAGGUUUUUGGUGGUGGUGAUCGGAUUUGCUUCUCGGCGAAGAGAAUGGGGAUGAUGGCAUUGUGGGAUCGUUGUUCUGGAAAAGCAGAAUGGCGGUGGAUAUGUGGGGUGCCUGGAUAUAGCGAUGGGCUUUACAGAGGAUUCGUGUUCGAGGCAAGGUUCACGGCCCUGCUGCCUUAAGUUGCCUGCCUAGACGUGGUUUGCUUGCCAAGUAAAAUUAGUGUCGAAAAGGGGUGGAGGUUGUGAGAUAGGCCCUUUGUACCAUCAACAAUCCAAAAUUCGAGUUGGCUGACUUCUCAAGAGCGAAAUUAUUCAUCAAAAAGGAAGAAAAAAGAAUUUAUGGAGUAGGAUGUCUUCGAUGGAAUCACUAGUCUUCAAAUACCACGGCUCCCGACCCUCAUGGUUCCUCUUCUAAAUUCUUGAAAAGUUUGCACAACACCUACAUGUUUGAGAGCAUGACGAUGUUCUGUAUUUUUAUUUUUAUUUUUGCAGAAAGACAUCUCUAAUGCCAUUAUCAACUAGGGGUUUUCUCUCUUUUUCCCCCAAAAGUGGAUACCAAAAAUGUUAAAGAUUACACUACUAACUAGUGGUCCCUGUAAAACCGUGACUAAGGUGAUUGUUGAGAGGAUGAAGGAAAUUUUGCCCCAAGUGACUAUCGAACUUGUAAUGCUUUUGUAAGAAAUCAACAAAUGAUAUACUCCACUGAAAUGGCCGAUAAAGCUGUUGAGGAUUGGAAAA